Molecule: small nucleolar RNA, 142 nt
Organism: Otolemur garnettii (small-eared galago)
Lineage: Eukaryota; Metazoa; Chordata; Mammalia; Primates; Galagidae
Source: Ensembl
CCUGGGAGACAGACUGAGACUGUAUCUCAGUAAACAAAAACAAAAAACAGCUGGGGUGCUAGAGUCCCCACAGAGAAUCUGCUGGGCUUGAUUCACUGGCAGGGGCAAUCAGUGCCCGUUAGUGCCCAGAUCAAUAACAUUC